GAACUGAACAAUACGCAAGAAAUAUACAAUUUCUCCCCAGAUCUCCAAUGUUUUAAAGCUGGUAGGUUCAGCUCCUAACAACAGUUUUCAUUAGCAAGGCCACAGACCAAAUGUUUUUUAAUCUGUCCUUCAAUCAUUGUAAUUGAGUGGCAGCUAUUGAUUAAAUGGUCAUGUGGACUGGUGCUGACUACUUCAGGUAAGAAGGGGGUGGGCAGGAAGUGGCAAUUUCUGGUGUCUAUAAUAUACAUGCUGCUGUUAUUCAUGUGGCCAAAGGCUUUAAUAUAUUGUCUGCUAGACUUAGAGAAUGAAGUUUGUAGCAGAAGUGAGGGGACUGACAGAGUUGUGCCUGCCUGGAUUCUUGUGCAGCACAAAGCACUUGCCAUAUGUUGCAUCGUCAGAAGAGGAGUCUCAGGGAUUCACACACUUGGACUUUACUGA
This 438-nucleotide long non-coding RNA is filed under the name Numida meleagris (helmeted guineafowl). Its description in RNAcentral is "lncRNA (ENSNMEG00000016434.1)". Lineage: Eukaryota; Metazoa; Chordata; Aves; Galliformes; Numididae. The record is from RNAcentral.